Molecule: ribosomal RNA, 255 nt
Filed under: uncultured bacterium
Lineage: Bacteria
Description: partial 16S ribosomal RNA
Rfam family: Bacterial small subunit ribosomal RNA
Source: RNAcentral
UACAGAGGUCCCGAGCGUUUGUUCGGAAUUAUUGGGCGUAAAGCGCGCGCAGGCGGUCUUUUAAGUCUGAUGUGAAAGCCCACGGCUCAACCGUGGAGGGUCAUUGGAAACUGGGGGACUUGAGUGCAGAAGAGGAAAGUGGAAUUCCAAGUGUAGCGGUGAAAUGCGUAGAGAUUUGGAGGAACACCAGUGGCGAAGGCGACUUUCUGGUCUGUAACUGACGCUGAGGCGCGAAAGCGUGGGGAGCAAACAGGG